UACGGAGGGUGCAAACGUUGCUCGGAAUCAUUGGGCGUAAAGCGCACGUAGGCGGUUCGUUAUGUCGGAUGUGAAAGCCCUCGGCUCAACCGAGGAAGGGCAUCCGAAACUGGCGUGCUUGAGUAUGGAAGAGGGUCUCGGAAUUCCCGGUGUAGAGGUGAAAUGCGUAGAUAUCGGGAGGAAUACCGAUGGCGAAGGCAGGUCUCUGGGCUGACACUGACGCUCAUGCACGAAAGCGUGGGGAGCAAACAGG
This 253-nucleotide ribosomal RNA is filed under the name uncultured bacterium. RNAcentral's name for it is "partial 16S ribosomal RNA". It matches the Rfam family "Bacterial small subunit ribosomal RNA", at positions 524 to 776 of the family's 1533-position model. The record is from RNAcentral.